This is a small nucleolar RNA of Apodemus sylvaticus (European woodmouse), 130 nucleotides long. RefSeq annotates it as small nucleolar RNA SNORA17. The record is from RefSeq and is a predicted model, not a curated record. NCBI's taxonomy places the organism in Eukaryota, Metazoa, Chordata, Mammalia, Rodentia, Muridae. The transcript has a single exon.
AAUGCCCCUAAAGGUGUGCAGGUGUGCCUGCUCUGUCUCAUGUGCACCAGUGGGUGGCAGAAGGAGAGAAGCUAGGUUCAUGCUUAGUGUUCUGACUGAUGAACAUUUGAAUAAUUAGCAGCUUAGUAGA